AAGUCGUAACAAGGUUUCCGUAGGUGAACCUGCGGAAGGAUCAUUACAUGUUAAGCGCGGCUGGGAUCUCCAGGAGCCAUCGUCUUGCCUUUGGCAGGCGUAACUCUUGCCUAGUCUGCGUGAAUAUUUACCCAUGUCUUUUGCGUACUUCUUGUUUCCUUGGUGGGCUCGCCUGCCAUUAGGACAACCAUUAAACCUUUUUGUAAUUGCAGUCAGCGUCAGUAAAAUUUAAUCGUUACAACUUUCAACAACGGAUCUCUUGGUUCUGGCAUCGAUGAAGAACGCAGCGAAAUGCGGUAAGUAGUGUGAAUUGCAGAAUUCAGUGAAUCAUCGAAUCUUUGAACGCACAUUGCGCCCAUUGGUAUUCCAAUGGGCAUGCCUGUUCGAGCGUCAUUUGUACCCUCAAGCCUUGCUUGGUGUUGGGCGUUUGUCUUUUGGGACUCGCCUUAAAACAAUUGGCAGCCGGCAUACUGGUUUCGGAGCGCAGCACAAAUUGCGGUCUGUCCACGAAUGUCGGCGUCCAUGAAGCCCCCAUUUUCCACUUUUGACCUCGGAUCAGGUAGGGAUACCCGCUGAACUUAAGCAUAUCAAUAAGCGGAGGAAAAGAAACCAACAGGGAUUGCCCUAGUAACGGCGAGUGAAGCGGCAUCAGCUCAAAUUUGAAAUCUGGCUCUUUUAGAGUCCGAGUUGUAAUUUGCAGAGGGCGCUUUGGCAUAGGCAGCGAUUCAAGUUCCUUGGAACAGGACGUCACAGAGGGUGAGAAUCCCGCACGUGGUCGCUAGCUCUUGCCGUGUAAAGCCCCUUCGACGAGUCGAGUUGUUUGGGAAUGCAGCUCUAAAUGGGAGGUAAAUUUCUUCUAAAGCUAAAUAUUGGCCAGAGACCGAUAGCGCACAAGUAGAGUGAUCGAAAGAUGAAAUAGUACUUUGGAAAGAGAGUCAAAAAGCACGUGAAAUUGUUGAAAGGGAAGCGCUUGCAGCCAGACUUGCCUGUAGUUGCUCAUCCAGGCUUUUGCCUGGUGCACUCUUCUGUAGGCAGGCCAGCAUCAGUUUGGGCGGUUGGAUAAAGGUCUCUGUCAUGUACCUCUCUUCGGGGAGGCCUUAUAGGGGAGGCGACAUACAACCAGCCUAGACUGAGGUCCGCGCAUUCGUGCUAGGAUGCUGGCGUAAUGGCUGUAAGCGGCC
Molecule: ribosomal RNA, 1181 nt
Filed under: uncultured fungus
Lineage: Eukaryota; Fungi
Description: eukaryotic LSU rRNA
Rfam family: Eukaryotic large subunit ribosomal RNA (bases 546-1181)
Source: RNAcentral